UCUGCUCACUCUGCUCUGGGAUAGCCCUGCUCUGUCUAUGGAGCAGUCAUUCAGGUGGACACUGUUGCCGUAAGAAACUUGCUUUUCUUGAAUUGUUUCCUGAGCAAAGCCAAGAACUCUCCCAGGGUGAGCCCCAAUUCUGGGGUUUGCCUGCAUCAGCCUGGCAACCAUGAACGAAUAAACAACAAUGAACAAGAUGAACAUGACAAAGGGGCUCAGCAAAAACUGAGACUCUGGAGCUAUAACACUAUGAAGCUGUAACUCUGUAAGGCUGUAGAGCUGUACAUGAGCCAAAGGCUCUUUUUACAGUCAAUCAUCAUUCCUGAUGACUAAUAAGCCAAGGGUACCUGAGGGAAACCUUCACCCAGAUGCCAAAUUAAGACCAAUCAACACCAUCUGGCUUCCAAGGACAGAAUAACCGCAACCCGGUUUUACAGAAGGUCAUUUAGAUCACACAGUCACUCUGCAUCAGAGCUGGAGAAUCUGAAUUUAUGAGUAUCUUGCAUCAAAACGCUGCCUCAGAGAGAACAGAAAGUGAAAAUAUAAAUUCCUGAAAUCAUACAGUAAGAG
Long non-coding RNA from Piliocolobus tephrosceles (Ugandan red Colobus), 570 nucleotides. RefSeq lists it as uncharacterized. The transcript is spliced from 3 exons. The record is from RefSeq and is a predicted model, not a curated record. NCBI's taxonomy places the organism in Eukaryota, Metazoa, Chordata, Mammalia, Primates, Cercopithecidae.